UACGAAGGGGGCUAGCGUUGCUCGGAAUCACUGGGCGUAAAGCGCACGUAGGCGGCUUCUUAGGCCGGGGGGAAAUCCUGGAGCUCAACUCCAGAACUGCCUUUGAUACUGGGAAGCUCGAGUCCGGGAGGGGUGAGUGGAACUCCGAGUGUAGAGGUGAAAUUCGUAGAUAUUCGGAAGAACACCAGUGGCGAAGGCGGCUCACUGGCCCGGUACUGACGCUGAGGUGCGAAAGCGUGGGGAGCAAACAGG
RNAcentral lists this ribosomal RNA (252 nucleotides) under uncultured bacterium. RNAcentral's name for it is "partial 16S ribosomal RNA". It matches the Rfam family "Bacterial small subunit ribosomal RNA", at positions 524 to 776 of the family's 1533-position model. The record is from RNAcentral.